RNAcentral lists this long non-coding RNA (2566 nucleotides) under Sus scrofa (pig). RNAcentral describes it as "lncRNA (ENSSSCG00050072658.1)". The record is from RNAcentral. Lineage: Eukaryota; Metazoa; Chordata; Mammalia; Artiodactyla; Suidae.
UAGGACUGUACCCAUGGCAUAUGGAGGUUCCCAGGCUAGAAGUCUAAUCAGAGCGGUAGCCGCCAGCCUGCGCCAGAGCCACAGCAGUGUGGGAUCCGAGCCGCGUCUGCGACUUCCACCACAGCUCACGGCAGCGCCGGAUCUUUAACCCACUGAGCGAGGCCAAGGAUCGAACCCUCAACCUCAUGGUUCCUAGUCGGAUUCGUUAACCACUGAGCCACGACGGGAACUCCACAUUUUUGAAGAUGUUUAGUUAAUGGGAAUAUUUAGUCUAAAUCUGAGAUGCUCAAACAAUGUGGUACCAGUGCCAGAAUGUACACAAAAGACCACAAUGCAAAGUUCAGAAAUACGCUUAGCGGUGUGUAACGGCUGGAUACACAGUGAAUGGGAUUUCCUCCUAGCAGGGAAAGGAUAGAUGUUCCAAUAAAUGAGGUUGGGGUGAUUUAGAAAAUAAAUUCCACAUGGAUCAUAUAUUUAAUCAUAAAUACUGAUGAAAAUUCAUAUGACCUUGGAAUCAGAAUUGCAAAGAUCUGCAUAAGCAUGAGAGCAAAGGUUGCAAUCAUAAAGGAAAAGAUAGAUUUGACUAAAAAUUUGUUAAAUGAACUUUUAAAAAAAUCAUACGUGCAACUUUAAAAAAAAUACAUUUAUGGGAGAAAAAAACUUAGAAAUCAGUGAGACAGCUAAACGCUUUCUGAGGAAACUGGCCAGAGAAGAUGAAUAGGUAAACGACAAAAGGACAUAGUCUAAUAAAUAUUUUGGCUAGCGAGGGUCACACUUGAAUCAAAAAAUGCUUAUCGAAAUUAGCCUCCAGUCCCCAUGGUAACACCAGCGUGAGAGAGGGAGUCGAACAUUCUCACACGUUGCUAGUGGGACUAUAAUUUGGUAUCGUCUUUCUGGAAGGCAAUUCGAGGCAAGGGAUGUUAAAAGUCCCCAAAACAGGCGUACUUUCUUACGGUCACACCGCAGGACCAAAUUAACCCUGACAUCCCAGUGCUGUAACACGUACCGCUGAGCCUUUCUUCACGCUACACGUCCGUGCAGGUGGGUGUCAUGAUGGGAGACGGGACACUCCACACUCCUUGGCCAGGAUUAGUACCAGGGCCCCAAGUGACUUUAAAGGGCUGCAAAGGGGCAUCUCCUGCGUGUCCAGGAGGGAGAGGAGGGGAUGGAGCUUGUAUUGUCCAUCACACUUCUGAGCCAGCAGGUCUAAUUUUAGAAAAUUAUCCUCAUAUUCUGAAAAAUUCAUCAUCUCAUUGAGUAUGGCAGUAAAAAAAAACUGGAAACAACUUAAGUAUCCAAGGUGCUACCUACAUACAUGUUAAAAAUGAAGCAGUUACAUACUUACUGGCAUAGAAAUAUAUUCACAAUAUAGCGUCAAAAGGGAAAAAAGCAAGUUAUAAAACAGUACGUAUAAUAUGAUUGGAUUUCAUGGAUAAAGGUAGUAAAACAAAUACAGCUGCAUAGAAAAAAGUCUGAAAAGAGAUAUACCAAAAUGUUAACAGUGGUUAUAAUCAGAUGGUGUAAUAACAGGUGAUGUUUUUCCUUUUCACGCAUGUGCAGUUUCUUUUUUUUUUUUUUUAAAAAAAGCAUGUAUUAGUUAUGUACCAAAAAGGCAUUUUAAAAAGGAAAAAAAGAAACAAAACACAAGAGUGUUCUUCAGAGAGUCCACUUAUCCACCUCAUACAGAUCAUUCAGGUCUUAAAUUUGAUGCAAGAAAUGCCUACUUGUCAGUCACACCAUAAGACAUUGCUACACCUAUUUAAAAGUCAGGACUUUGUACGAAAAGUGGUACAACAGGGUAAGAACAGUGACACAUUCCCCACAGCUGCAUAUCAUCAGACCUGUCAAUCAUCUGCUGAAACGUUCCCCACCCCCGUCUGGGCUCCGCCAUGGCUUCUCUGGGCUCCUGCCAGGUACACUAGGGCCGGUGGCCCAGGGGCCACUCUUCACAAGGCUCUGCAUUUGUCAGAGAGAGUAGGGCACUGGAUGAACUCCACUCAAAAGAUCCACAGGAGCUUCUCAAAGAUGGAUUCCAGAACAUACAACAUCACUACCUGGAUGAUUGCAGACUCCUCGUAGCUGUACAUAUUUUUUUAUUAACAUCCUCUCUUUGUUGUUUCUCCUGCAUCUCUCUGCUGCUUCCUCUCCUAACACACACACACUCUUCAAAGUUCACUAGACUGUUUCAUCCAGCUGCCAAAUUCUUACCAGAGUCAUCUGUUGCCUGGCUGGUGUUUAAAGCGGAACUGGAAAAACCCAUAUUCUUGAGAUAGGAGCAUGAAAAAAGACAGAGAAAACAACACACAUUCCUAUAUGGGAUUCCCCUCCAUGCCGUCACCCCCACCAGCCCCAGAAUAUGUAAUAUUUCUUUAGGGGAGAAACCAUGUACUCAGAAAUCAGGGUCCUUUAAAACCAUGCAAGUCACUUAAAAGUAUAUAUGGACGUUGAUUUGCAAGCUUUUCAUUUAAAUCAUCUGUGCUUCAAAAGCCAGUGCCGUUUCAAGUGAGUAAAAGAAUCCCAGCCUUCUGAAGAGCAUGCAGCUACUUUCCGGGAUGAGCAGAGCACC